Molecule: long non-coding RNA, 514 nt
Organism: Spinacia oleracea (spinach)
Lineage: Eukaryota; Viridiplantae; Streptophyta; Magnoliopsida; Caryophyllales; Amaranthaceae
Exons: 2
Source: RefSeq, a predicted model, not a curated record
UGUUUUGCUGUCAAAACCCCAUUUUAAGCUCAUCAAAAUAAUAAGAGCAAAUUAGAAUUUUAUCUUUGGGAGUUCAAUCCUUCUCUUCUCUUCUCUUCUCUGGUCUUCGGUCUCACCACCGACCACCAUCGCAAACCGCCAAACCAUUGCACCGAUCUUCAUCAUCCACUAUUAGAAUUAGAGCAAAUCCCAAACUCCCUAUACUCUUUGAUUUUUCCUUGAUGAUGCCCCUAAUUACCGAGUUCCCACAUUUCAAAGUCAAAGUUGAUUUCCUACUUUUAAGGUUGUGUGGAAGCUCAGGUGGGAUUCAAAUGGAGCUUGAUUAUAAUAAAGGGAUUCAAAUUAUAUUUAUGUGUUAUAUAUUAAGGUUGUAUUCAUUUAGUAUAUGAAUUGUUGUGAGUUAAAGAAUUAUAUUUACUCAAGGUUAUUUAUUCAAGUUAUUUAAGGUUAUUUUGUGGGCCCAUAAUCCAUAGGUCCAGGAUCGAGUUUAAGGUUAAAGUUAUUAUUUUUUCAA